Molecule: long non-coding RNA, 210 nt
Filed under: Elaeis guineensis (African oil palm)
Lineage: Eukaryota; Viridiplantae; Streptophyta; Magnoliopsida; Arecales; Arecaceae
Description: long non-coding RNA (EGUI_LNC025853)
Source: RNAcentral
UUCAAUGGUAGAAUACCACUAGACUUAAUAUUUUAUAGGAAGAUUUAGAUUUAGAUCUAAUCCUUAAUAUUUUAUGACUAACCUAGUGGCAUGAGCUAGCUCAAAUCAUUAAGCAACCUAAAUCAAAAUUUAAUCGACUAAGUUGGUGAAGCAAGUGUGAUCAUUGGAAAGGUUGCAGGUGCUUGCCUUAGAUACCAUUUGUUCAUGGCC